Molecule: ribosomal RNA, 465 nt
Filed under: uncultured bacterium
Lineage: Bacteria
Description: partial 16S ribosomal RNA
Rfam family: Bacterial small subunit ribosomal RNA
Source: RNAcentral
GACGAACGCUGGCGGCGUGCUUAACACAUGCCAGUCGAACGGAAAGGCCCCUUUGGGGGUACUCGAGUGGCGAACGGGUGAGUAACACGUGAGUAACCUGCCCUUGACUUCGGGAUAACUUCAGGAAACUGGGGCUAAUACCGGAUAGGAAUCCUUGCUGCAUGGUGGGGGUUGGAAAGCUUCGGCGGUUUUGGAUGGACUCGCGGCUUAUCAGCUUGUUGGUGGGGUAGUGGCUUACCAAGGCUUUGACGGGUAGCCGGCCUGAGAGGGCGACCGGCCACAUUGGGACUGAGAUACGGCCCAGACUCCUACGGGAGGCAGCAGUGGGGAAUAUUGCACAAUGGGCGGAAGCCUGAUGCAGCAACGCCGCGUGCGGGAUGACGGCUUUCGGGUUGUAAACCGCUUUCAGCAGGGGCGAAGCUUGUGGUGACGGUACCUGCAGAAGAAGCACCGGCUAACUACGUG